This 253-nucleotide ribosomal RNA is filed under the name uncultured bacterium. RNAcentral's name for it is "partial 16S ribosomal RNA". It matches the Rfam family "Bacterial small subunit ribosomal RNA", at positions 524 to 776 of the family's 1533-position model. The record is from RNAcentral.
UACGGGGGGGGCAAGCGUUGUUCGGAAUUACUGGGCGUAAAGGGCUCGUAGGCGGCCAACUAAGUCCGACGUGAAAUCCCCAGGCUUAACCUGGGAACUGCGUCGGAUACUGGAUGGCUUGAAUUCGGGAGAGGGAUGCAGAAUUCCAGGUGUAGCGGUGAAAUGCGUAGAUAUCUGGAGGAACACCGGUGGCGAAGGCGGCAUCCUGGACCGGCAUUGACGCUGAGGCGCGAAAGCCAGGGGAGCAAACGGG